CUAGGAGGCAGCUGGCUUCUGCUACUCAGUGGUUUGCUAUCCACAGCAGCACGUGGCCCCAUGGAGAAAUAAAAUUUGAUGGGAGCAGCAAGAACUCUUGCGGCCUUGGGAAAAGUCAACUUUAUGUGUGAAAGAUCCUUGCAAUAUGAAUGAGUGGAGCAACUGGAAAAUUCCAGGACAAGAUGUUAAGAAUAACAAGAGGAUAAACAGCAGUGAAAACGGAUCAGAUGGCUAAUGACGGGCAGCAUCCUUGAACCUCAAAAUUGGGCUGCCUAUGCAUCUUUGCAGGUGGGUGUUGGGAUGUCUGCUUGGUGAGU
This 317-nucleotide long non-coding RNA is filed under the name Aotus nancymaae (Ma's night monkey). Its description in RNAcentral is "lncRNA (ENSANAG00000039175.1)". Lineage: Eukaryota; Metazoa; Chordata; Mammalia; Primates; Aotidae. The record is from RNAcentral.